UACGUAGGGUGCAAGCGUUGUCCGGAAUUAUUGGGCGUAAAGAGCUCGUAGGCGGUCUGUCGCGUCUGGUGUGAAGACUCAAGGCUUAACCUUGGGCCUGCAUCGGGUACGGGCAGACUAGAGUGCGGUAGGGGAGACUGGAAUUCCUGGUGUAGCGGUGAAAUGCGCAGAUAUCAGGAGGAACACCGGUGGCGAAGGCGGGUCUCUGGGCAGUAACUGACGCUGAGGAGCGAAAGCGUGGGGAGCGAACAGG
RNAcentral lists this ribosomal RNA (253 nucleotides) under uncultured bacterium. RNAcentral describes it as "partial 16S ribosomal RNA". It matches the Rfam family "Bacterial small subunit ribosomal RNA", at positions 524 to 776 of the family's 1533-position model. The record is from RNAcentral.